UCCAUCACACUUGUGAAAGAGGAAUGGCACUUCCUUUCUGGGCAAGGAGGUGUAAGCAUAAAGCUGUGUCUGAGGUGAGCAGAUAUGAUGAGGUGGCACAUAGAUGUAUCUUGACAGUUACCUUUUAGGAAGAACACGUCUGCUUUAAAUGUUUCUGUUAAGACUUGUCUGCAUCACUUACGCUUUCUCUUGCUAAGCGUGGUUCCUCUGCAUGCUGCCUUCAUCCUCCUACCUGCAAGGAGCCUGACCUUCACCCAGGUGGCAUCAGUACAUCAGCGUGCUCUGUACAGGAUGACCACCUACUAAUAAGAAAAAAGGAGUGACACCCAGGUUACUGCAGACUGAGCUGAGUGAAGAACACUGUCAAUCUCCAUCUCUGUGCCAAGAAAACUGGCUACAAGCAAGUGACCAUGCUAUUUUAUGAGCUUCUUUCAUACAACUGUGCUGCAAAA
Gavia stellata (red-throated loon) is the source of this 452-nucleotide long non-coding RNA. RefSeq lists it as uncharacterized. The transcript is spliced from 3 exons. The record is from RefSeq and is a predicted model, not a curated record. Lineage: Eukaryota; Metazoa; Chordata; Aves; Gaviiformes; Gaviidae.